This 467-nucleotide ribosomal RNA is filed under the name uncultured bacterium. RNAcentral's name for it is "partial 16S ribosomal RNA". It matches the Rfam family "Bacterial small subunit ribosomal RNA", at positions 29 to 507 of the family's 1533-position model. The record is from RNAcentral.
ACGAACGCUGGCGGCGUGCUUAACACAUGCAAGUCGAACGGAAAGGCCCUGCUUUUGUGGGGUGCUCGAGUGGCGAACGGGUGAGUAACACGUGAGUAACCUGCCCUUGACUUUGGGAUAACUUCAGGAAACUGGGGCUAAUACCGGAUAGGAGCUCCUGCUGCAUGGUGGGGGUUGGAAAGUUUCGGCGGUUGGGGAUGGACUCGCGGCUUAUCAGCUUGUUGGUGGGGUAGUGGCUUACCAAGGCUUUGACGGGUAGCCGGCCUGAGAGGGUGACCGGCCACAUUGGGACUGAGAUACGGCCAAGACUCCUACGGGAGGCAGCAGUGGGGAAUAUUGCACAAUGGGCGGAAGCCUGAUGCAGCAACGCCGCGUGCGGGAUGACGGCCUUCGGGUUGUAAACCGCUUUCGCCUGUGACGAAGCGUGAGUGACGGUAAUGAGUAAAGAAGCACCGGCUAACUACGUG